CCUUAACUCUGGGAUAAGCCUGGGAAACUGGGUCUAAUACCGGAUAGGAGCGUCCACCGCAUGGUGGGUGUUGGAAAGAUUUAUCGGUUUUGGAUGGACUCGCGGCCUAUCAGCUUGUUGGUGAGGUAAUGGCUCACCAAGGCGACGACGGGUAGCCGGCCUGAGAGGGUGACCGGCCACACUGGGACUGAGACACGGCCCAGACUCCUACGGGAGGCAGCAGUGGGGAAUAUUGCACAAUGGGCGCAAGCCUGAUGCAGCGACGCCGCGUGAGGGAUGACGGCCUUCGGGUUGUAAACCUCUUUCAGUAGGGAAGAAGCGAAAGUGACGGUACCUGCAGAAGAAGCACCGGCUAACUACGUGCCAGCAGCCGCGGUAAUACGUAGGGUGCGAGCGUUAUCCGGAAUUAUUGGGCGUAAAGAGCUCGUAGGCGGUUUGUCGCGUCUGUCGUGAAAGUCCGGGGCUUAACCCCGGAUCUGCGGUGGGUACGGGCAGACUAGAGUGCAGUAGGGGAGACUGGAAUUCCUGGUCCCGCACAAGCGGCGGAGCAUGCGGAUUAAUUCGAUGCAACGCGAAGAACCUUACCAAGGCUUGACAUGUUCUCGAUCGCCGUAGAGAUACGGUUUCCCCUUUGGGGCGGGUUCACAGGUGGUGCAUGGUUGUCGUCAGCUCGUGUCGUGAGAUGUUGGGUUAAGUCCCGCAACGAGCGCAACCCUCGUUCCAUGUUGCCAGCACGUCGUGGUGGGGACUCAUGGGAGACUGCCGGGGUCAACUCGGAGGAAGGUGAGGACGACGUCAAAUCAUCAUGCCCCUUAUGUCUUGGGCUUCACGCAUGCUACAAUGGCCGGUACAAUGGGUUGCGAUACUGUGAGGUGGAGCUAAUCCCAAAAAGCCGGUCUCAGUUCGGAUUGGGGUCUGCAACUCGACCCCAUGAAGUCGGAGUCGCUAGUAAUCGCAGAU
Molecule: ribosomal RNA, 960 nt
Filed under: Micrococcus luteus
Lineage: Bacteria; Bacillati; Actinomycetota; Actinomycetes; Micrococcales; Micrococcaceae
Description: bacterial SSU rRNA
Rfam family: Bacterial small subunit ribosomal RNA
Source: RNAcentral